CUGUUUCUUUGUGAUCUCUUCUGACUUCAUCUGGUUGUAUCUUGGGGAUCAGGCGAGGUCGGGGUCCGCCCGAGAUCAGUUCUUCGGCCUACUUGGAGUUGCUCUUUGUUACAAACUGUCUUUUGUAACUGGUUCUUUGUGUGACAAAUUGCCCUGUUCCCCUGGCUUAUGGAGAAGCCUUAUUGCCAGCCUCCUGCCUCAUGACUAUG
Pelobates cultripes (western spadefoot toad) is the source of this 209-nucleotide non-coding RNA. NCBI's taxonomy places the organism in Eukaryota, Metazoa, Chordata, Amphibia, Anura, Pelobatidae. The record is from the annotation of a GenBank genome assembly.